RNAcentral lists this transfer RNA (62 nucleotides) under bovine gut metagenome. It matches the Rfam family "tRNA", at positions 8 to 63 of the family's 71-position model. From Rfam's summary of the family: Transfer RNA (tRNA) molecules are approximately 80 nucleotides in length. RNAcentral also lists the same sequence under 1 other name. The record is from RNAcentral.
UAGCUCAGCUGGAUAGAGCAACGGCCUUCUAAGCCGUGGGUCGGGGGUUCGAAUCCCUUCGG